GACGAACGCUGGCGGCGUGCUUAACACAUGCAAGUCGAACGGAAAGGCCCUGCUUUUGUGGGGUGCUCGAGUGGCGAACGGGUGAGUAACACGUGAGUAACCUGCCCUUGACUUUGGGAUAACUUCAGGAAACUGGGGCUAAUACCGGAUAGGAGCUCCUGCUGCAUGGUGGGGGUUGGAACGUUUCGGCGGUUGGGGAUGGACUCGCGGCUUAUCAGCUUGUUGGUGGGGUAGUGGCUUACCAAGGCUUUGACGGGUAGCCGGCCUGAGAGGGUGACCGGCCACAUUGGGACUGAGAUACGGCCCAGACUCCUACGGGAGGCAGAAGUGGGGAAUAUUGCACAAUGGGCGGGAGCCUGAUGCAGCAACGCCGCGUGCGGGAUGACGGCCUGCGGGUUGUAAACCGCUUUCGCCUGUGACGAAGCGUGAGUGACGGUAAUGGGUAAAGAAGCACCGGCUAACUACGUG
This 468-nucleotide ribosomal RNA is filed under the name uncultured bacterium. RNAcentral's name for it is "partial 16S ribosomal RNA". It matches the Rfam family "Bacterial small subunit ribosomal RNA", at positions 28 to 507 of the family's 1533-position model. The record is from RNAcentral.